This 449-nucleotide ribosomal RNA is filed under the name Merluccius merluccius (European hake). Its description in RNAcentral is "SSU rRNA". It matches the Rfam family "Eukaryotic small subunit ribosomal RNA", at positions 51 to 478 of the family's 1831-position model. Lineage: Eukaryota; Metazoa; Chordata; Actinopteri; Gadiformes; Merlucciidae. The record is from RNAcentral.
AUGCAUGUAUAAGUCCACACGGCUGGAAAAGUGAAACUGCGAAUGGCUCAUUAAAUCAGUUAUGGUUCCUUUGAUCGCUCACCCGCUACUUGGAUAACUGUGGCAAUUCUAGAGCUAAUACAUGCAAACGAGCGCUGACCUUCGGGGAUGCGUGCAUUUAUCAGACCUAAAACCCGCGCGGGGUGCUGCCGCGUGGUGGCCCCCGGCCUGUUUGGUGACUCUAGAUAACCUUGGGCCGAUCGCUCGCCCUCGCGGCGGCGACGACUCAUUCGAAUGUCUGCCCUAUCAACUUUCGAUGGUACUCUAUGUGCCUACCAUGGUGACCACGGGUAACGGGGAAUCAGGGUUCGAUUCCGGAGAGGGAGCCUGAGAAAUGGCUACCACAUCCAAGGAAGGCAGCAGGCGCGCAAAUUACCCAUUCACGACACGUGGAGGUAGUGACGAAAAAU